Molecule: transfer RNA, 70 nt
Filed under: Marmota monax (woodchuck)
Lineage: Eukaryota; Metazoa; Chordata; Mammalia; Rodentia; Sciuridae
Description: tRNA.Ala
Source: RNAcentral
GGGCUGGGGCUCAGUGGCGGAGCACUCGCCUAGCAUGUGUGAGGCCCUGGGUUCGAUCCUCAGCACCACA